This is a long non-coding RNA of Mastomys coucha (southern multimammate mouse), 1333 nucleotides long. RefSeq lists it as uncharacterized. The record is from RefSeq and is a predicted model, not a curated record. Lineage: Eukaryota; Metazoa; Chordata; Mammalia; Rodentia; Muridae. The transcript has 2 exons.
GACUGUCCUGAUUCUCCUGUCUCAGGCUGAAUCUCUACUGGAGAAGGACUUUUGCCUCUGCUCAUAGCGGGGAUUACAGCGGCGGGCAUGUGUUCCAUCCCAGCCUUGCAGAGGAAUGACAGAGCCCCCAACAGGCACAGGUCGACAGCACGGAAAACUCAGACAGCAAACGCGCGCCCCUGACCUUGAAUGGCCCGGGGCCCAGAAUUCUUACCACGCCCCCGGCGUCCAAGAACCAGCCGCCAACCUGACCGUACCUGCUCCGGGCCAGGUGCCGGGCGGAGACAGUGAGGCGGACUGGGUGGCACAGCGCUCAGGAAGACCCGAAGCUCCUCCUGCACUGGGGAUCUGAGGUUGCCACCGCAGGCCUGGCACGAUUAGGCCUUGAUGGGCGGCCUAGCCACCCCGGGCUGCUCAGGACAGGCACCUGGAGAUGCUUUCAACUGAAGUAAUGAAGGCAGUGUCAUGCUGUCGAGAGAAAGGUGGAUCCCAACAACAGGAAACUACCUAAAUCACCGACCAGUUCUGAUGCUGCCGGCGUAGGGUUGCCUCGCCCCUCGCCGCCUCCGCUGCCGCCACUGUCGCCGCCAAGGAAAGAGUCCUGCGAUUGCACCCAGACCAGUCCUCCGCAACCUGUCCCAGACACCACCCCAACCCCGCGGUGGAUGAAGAAGGCUCCGGUCUCGGGAAAGCCAGUCAAGCCCUUUAGCUAACCUGAAUGUCCAUGCUUCCAUACUCUGCUCUUGGCCGAGGGAGUAAAGAAGGAAGAAAAGAGAAACCAGGCCUGGACUCCCUGAUUAAACACAGCCCAGCACUCCAGGCUGGCGAACCCGGUGGCGGCUCCUUGCACCAUUGACCUCAGGCCAGACACCUCAGCGCCGACAAUGGGACCUAGAGCUUCCGGCUAAGUUUACACAGGGCUGAGCAGGAAACCAGAUCCAUGGAGGGGUACUGGGGCCCUUCCUUAGCAGUGGGUCCCAGAGGCAGCAAACCCAGCCCAGUCAGGACUUGACACUGAGGACGGUCUCAACCUCUAUAGAAUUUUAGUGAUAUGGCUUUUUCCCCCAGAAAACAAGUAAACCAACACCAAGCAAACAGACAAAGAAAUAAAAAAAAAUAAAAUAAAAUAAAAAGCCAGAACAAACCAGCCCUGCACAGACGAAACGACCUGGGAGAUGGCGAGUGUGGGAGGGAGAAAGGGGUCUCCGGCACAGGUGCGAGUUCUGGGGCAGAGGCUGGAGGCAGAAGGAUGGGUCCAGGCGCUCGGGAAGCGGAAAACUCGUUGUCUGGAAGUUUCAUCAGGAAAAAUUAAAGUUGGCUGUGAGCUCCCGGA